GAAAAUUUGCACUAGGAAGAAAACCAUCUACAACGACAAAGAGCCAAAUCUACCUUUUCACCACCUGGAUAUUCAUUGAAACUGUCAUAAUUCUAAUAAUUCAAAAGGCAACUUCAAGUUAGAAAUUCAAGAUGUGAAGUUCAAAAUUGGGAAAUGCUUAUCUAAUCAAUUUUUUAUCUACAAAAUUAAAACAUAGAGUAUCAAACAACAAUAAUUAGAGUAGAUGACCAUUUAACAGAAGUGCUCACCAAAUUCAACAUGUCACUUAGAUAUAGAUGAAAAAUAAAGAAAUAAAAUCCACCACUCUAAGAGAGCUCAACCACUGAAAAAGGGACCUUUCGUCAGCAAUAGCCCACCAGAAUAGUGAAGGUGCCAACCUUCUCCAUUACCACUAACACAAUACCAAUGAACCACCCUCCAAAACCAUUUUCAAAAUCUUAAAUUUCUUCCUUAGAAAAGCUUCAGAUAUGUCUGGCAAUAUCGCCCCCAGAAUAAAUUUUGACCGGAUAACCUUUCGAUUUGGAAGAUAAGGCCUUUAUGGCGCGGUCAUCUUUUUCAGCUAGGUUGAUUCGCCUUUUUCUGAUAUUGGUGAUUCAUGCAAGGAAGAGAAGAUGAGAUAAAAGUGAAAGAUUAUCCGCCAACGUUUGCUCCCAUUGGAACUGUUUUCCGCGAUAAAUUAGUCGCUGCUUUACUGUGGGUAUUCCAAUGAACAACUUGAUUUUCAUGGUGAACUACUUUCUCUGAGUUCGUAGAAUGGGCUGGAAUAGCCGGCAAUGAGAAGAAGAUGGGGGUGUACUGGUGGCUCUUGGUGGAUGAACGGUAGCAAUGGUGAUUUUUG
RNAcentral lists this long non-coding RNA (838 nucleotides) under Nicotiana tabacum (common tobacco). RNAcentral's name for it is "long non-coding RNA (NTAB_LNC018963)". Lineage: Eukaryota; Viridiplantae; Streptophyta; Magnoliopsida; Solanales; Solanaceae. The record is from RNAcentral.